CUACGGGCUGCUCCAGUGGGGGAUAUUGCACAAUGGGCGAAAGCCUGAUGCAGCAACGCCGCGUGAAGGAAGACGGAUUUCGGUCUGUAAACUUCUAUCAGCUGGGAAGAAAAUGACGGUACCAGACUAAGAAGCCCCGGCUAACUACGUGCCAGCAGCCGCGGUAAUACGUAGGGGGCAAGCGUUAUCCGGAUUUACUGGGUGUAAAGGGUACGUAGGCGGUCGCUUAAGUCAGAUGUGAAAGCCCGAAGCUCAACUUCGGGACUGCAUUUGAAACUGGGUGACUAGAGUACAGGAGAGGAAAGCGGAAUUCCUAGUGUAGCGGUGAAAUGCGUAGAUAUUAGGAAGAACACCAGUGGCGAAGGCGGCUUUCUGGACUGUAACUGACGCUGAGGUACGAAAGCGUGGGGAGCAAACAGGAUUAGAUACCCGGGAGUC
RNAcentral lists this ribosomal RNA (438 nucleotides) under uncultured bacterium. RNAcentral's name for it is "partial 16S ribosomal RNA". It matches the Rfam family "Bacterial small subunit ribosomal RNA", at positions 339 to 795 of the family's 1533-position model. The record is from RNAcentral.